UUGAAAUUGACGUUGCUUCUACACGCUCUGUCUCUGUCCUCUCUGGGGCUUCAACGGCUUUCUCGUCUGCGCCAAAUGCUAAAACCCUAAAGAAUUUUCCCGAUAGAAUGAUUUUCCCGGAAAAUUCCCAAUUGUGUAUAGAAAAUUCACCCAGAAACUUCACUGUAAAAACGUAAAUUGAAUUAAACUUCAGUAAGGUGAUAACUAGGAGAGUGACAAUGGCAGAGGUCGAUCUGACUAAGAAAGUGGCGGAUAGGUAUCUGAAGCGCGAGGUUCUUGGUGAAGGUACCUAUGGAGUCGUCUACAAAGCCAUUGAUACGAAGACAGGACAGACAGUUGCUAUUAAAAAAAUUCGGCUUGGGAAGCAAAAGGAAGGGGUGAAUUUCACAGCUCUCAGAGAAAUUAAGCUGCUUAAAGAGCUGAAAGAUCCGAACAUAAUUGAGUUGAUUGAAGCAUUCCCGCAUAAAGGAAACUUGCAUCUUGUAUUUGAGUUCAUGGAAACGGACCUUGAAGCUGUUAUACGUGAUCGGAAUAUAUUCCUAUCACCAGCUGACAUAAAGUCAUACCUUCAGAUGACGUUAAAAGGACUUGCUGUUUGCCACAAGAAAUGGGUUUUACACAGGGAUAUGAAGCCUAACAACUUGUUGAUAGGACCUAAUGGGCAGCUUAAACUUGCAGAUUUUGGUUUAGCACGAAUAUUUGGGAGCCCAGAUCGCAGGUUCACUCAUCAGGUCUUUGCCCGUUGGUAUAGAGCACCUGAGCUGUUAUUUGGCACCAAGCAAUAUGGACCUGGGGUAGAUGUUUGGGCUGCAGCUUGUAUAUUUGCUGAACUUCUCUUACGCAGACCCUUUUUGCAGGGAUCAAGUGAUAUUGAUCAAUUAGGAAAGAUUUUUGCGGCUUUUGGGACUCCAACACCUUCUCAGUGGCCUGAUAUGGUAUACCUCCGGGAUUAUGUGGAAUACCAAUAUGUUCCAGCACCCCCUUUGCGUUCAUUGUUUCCAGUGGCUGGUGAUGAUGCCCUAGAUUUGUUAGCGAAGAUGUUUACUUAUGACCCCAAAGUUAGAAUUUCCGUACAGCAGGCAUUAGAGCACAGGUACUUUACAUCUGCCCCUCUUCCUACGUAUCCAGACAAGCUUCCUAGACCUGCUCCAAAGCGGGAAUCUAAGGCUUCAGAUUUUGAUCCACAUGAUGGUCCUACUGUGUUAUCACCUCCACGAAAAUCAAGGAGAGUGAUGCCAAAGCGUGAUGGUUUUGAAGGAAAUUCACAUGUUGAUAAGAUUGAUGAUCGUUUCAGUGAAGCCAGACAUGCUGCUGGUGAAAAUACAAGCAGGAAUGAACCAGUGUCAGUUGAUUUUUCUAUCUUUGGAGCAAAACCUCCAACUAGACCUACAAUUAAUAGUGCUGACAGAACACAUCUAAAGAGGAAACUAGAUCUUGAAUUUCAACAUCCCGAAUAAGAACAUUCUAUGCACUGAAUCAUAUAUCUUAUUUGUUUGAGAGGUGUAAGAUUGCAGCGGGUCUCACAUUAAUGAAAUUAUAGGGAGGAGAAAACAUUCGGUGAAGUCGAAGAUAAUCACGAUGCAGAUAAUUAUGUUUGGAGGUGUAAAAAUAAUUUUGAUGACAUUAAACCGAAAAUUUGUACCUAGUCCAUGUAAGGCUAAAAUUUGAGAGCUUGUGUUGUGUUGCUUCAUUUUUUCCUGGUCUAAUUGUUGAGGGUAAUUACUAAUUAGGUGCCAACAUUCAUACCGUUAUCGAACUUAGAGAUGAAAGUCAACGUUAUGGAUUCAUGUUGUCUUUUUGUUUCUU
RNA transcript from Pyrus x bretschneideri (Chinese white pear), 1806 nucleotides. It is a transcript of the gene named cyclin-dependent kinase D-3, with no coding region annotated. The record is from RefSeq and is a predicted model, not a curated record. NCBI's taxonomy places the organism in Eukaryota, Viridiplantae, Streptophyta, Magnoliopsida, Rosales, Rosaceae. The transcript is spliced from 8 exons.